This 519-nucleotide ribosomal RNA is filed under the name uncultured eukaryote. Its description in RNAcentral is "SSU rRNA". It matches the Rfam family "Eukaryotic small subunit ribosomal RNA", at positions 1161 to 1699 of the family's 1831-position model. The record is from RNAcentral.
AGGGCACCACCAGGAGUGGAGCCUGCGGCUUAAUUUGACUCAACACGGGGAAACUUACCCGGCCUGGACACUGGAAGGAUUGACAGAUUGAGAGCUCUUUCUUGAUUCAGUGGGUGGUGGUGCAUGGCCGUUCGUAGUUGGUGGAGCGAUUUGUCUGGUUAAUUCCGAUAACGAACGAGACUCUAGCCUAUUAAAUAGGCUCCCGGCUUUUAAACGCCGGGAGGACUUCUUAGAGGGACAGGUGGCGGUUCAGCCGCACGAAAGAGAGCAAUAACAGGUCUGUGAUGCCCUUUGUUGUCCGGGGCCGCACGCGCGCUACACUGAAGAGAUCAGCGUGCUUUAUGUUCCUGCUCCGACCGGAGUGGGGAACCCAGUGAACCUUCUUCGUGAUUGGGAUAGAAGAUUGUAAUUAUUCUUCUUGAACGAGGAAUUCCCAGUAAAUGCGAGUCAUAAGCUCGCGUUGAUUACGUCCCUGCCCUUUGUACACACCGCCCGUCGCUACUACCGAUUGAACGAUUU